RNAcentral lists this ribosomal RNA (557 nucleotides) under Massilia agri. RNAcentral describes it as "bacterial SSU rRNA". It matches the Rfam family "Bacterial small subunit ribosomal RNA", at positions 366 to 916 of the family's 1533-position model. The record is from RNAcentral. Lineage: Bacteria; Pseudomonadati; Pseudomonadota; Betaproteobacteria; Burkholderiales; Oxalobacteraceae.
GCAUGCUGGGCGCAGCCUGAUCCAGCAAUGCCGCGUGAGUGAAGAAGGCCUUCGGGUUGUAAAGCUCUUUUGUCAGGGAAGAAACGGCUCAGGCUAAUAUCCUGGGCUAAUGACGGUACCUGAAGAAUAAGCACCGGCUAACUACGUGCCAGCAGCCGCGGUAAUACGUAGGGUGCAAGCGUUAAUCGGAAUUACUGGGCGUAAAGCGUGCGCAGGCGGUUUUGUAAGUCUGACGUGAAAGCCCCGGGCUCAACCUGGGAAUUGCGUUGGAGACUGCAAGGCUUGAAUCUGGCAGAGGGGGGUAGAAUUCCACGUGUAGCAGUGAAAUGCGUAGAGAUGUGGAGGAACACCGAUGGCGAAGGCAGCCCCCUGGGUCAAGAUUGACGCUCAUGCACGAAAGCGUGGGGAGCAAACAGGAUUAGAUACCCUGGUAGUCCACGCCCUAAACGAUGUCUACUAGUUGUCGGGUUUUAAUUAACUUGGUAACGCAGCUAACGCGUGAAGUAGACCGCCUGGGGAGUACGGUCGCAAGAUUAAAACUCAAAUGAAAUUGACGG